AAGAGAGCUGUCCGUCGACA
Molecule: microRNA, 20 nt
Filed under: Drosophila mojavensis
Lineage: Eukaryota; Metazoa; Arthropoda; Insecta; Diptera; Drosophilidae
Also listed under: 3 other names
Description: miR-281-1-star-RA
Source: RNAcentral